GCGAAAGUAGCUCAGUUGGUAGAGCAUCACCUUGCCAAGGUGGAGGUCGCGGGUUCAAAUCCCGUCUUUCGCUCGA
RNAcentral lists this transfer RNA (76 nucleotides) under Flavobacteriales bacterium. Its description in RNAcentral is "tRNA-Gly". It matches the Rfam family "tRNA". Rfam says of the family: Transfer RNA (tRNA) molecules are approximately 80 nucleotides in length. The record is from RNAcentral. Lineage: Bacteria; Pseudomonadati; Bacteroidota; Flavobacteriia; Flavobacteriales.